Molecule: ribosomal RNA, 301 nt
Filed under: uncultured bacterium
Lineage: Bacteria
Description: partial 16S ribosomal RNA
Rfam family: Bacterial small subunit ribosomal RNA
Source: RNAcentral
CAGCAGCCACGGGAAUACGUAGGGUGCAAGCGUUAAUCGGAAUUACUGGGCGUAAAGCGUGCGCAGGCGGUUAUAUAAGACAGAUGUGAAAUCCCCGGGCUCAACCUGGGAACUGCAUUUGUGACUGUAUAGCUAGAGUACGGCAGAGGGGGAUGGAAUUCCGCGUGUAGCAGUGAAAUGCGUAGAUAUGCGGAGGAACACCGAUGGCGAAGGCAAUCCCCUGGGCCUGUACUGACGCUCAUGCACGAAAGCGUGGGGAGCAAACAGGAUUAGAUACCCGAGUAGUCCCUGUCUCUUAUAA